Molecule: ribosomal RNA, 800 nt
Filed under: uncultured bacterium
Lineage: Bacteria
Description: bacterial SSU rRNA
Rfam family: Bacterial small subunit ribosomal RNA
Source: RNAcentral
CCUACGGGAGGCAGCAGUGGGGAAUCUUGCGCAAUGCGCGAAAGCGUGACGCAGCAACGCCGCGUGAGGGAAGAAGGCCUUCGGGUUGUAAACCUCUUUCAGGAGGGACGAAGGUUCAGGCGCGAACAGCGACCUGGACUGACGGUACCUCCAGAAGAAGCCCCGGCUAACUACGUGCCAGCAGCCGCGGUAAUACGUAGGGGGCUAGCGUUGUCCGGAAUCAUUGGGCGUAAAGCGCGCGUAGGCGGCCCGGUAAGUCCGCUGUAAAAGUCAAAGGCUCAACCUUUGAAUGUCAGUGGAUACUGCCGGGCUAGAGUCCGGAAGAGGCGAGUGGAAUUCCUGGUGUAGCGGUGGAAUGCGCAGAUAUCAGGAGGAACACCAACGGCGAAGGCAGCUCGCUGGGACGGUACUGACGCUGAGGCGCGAAAGCGUGGGGAGCGAACAGGAUUAGAUACCCUGGUAGUCCACGCCGUAAACGAUGGGCACUAGGUGUGGGAGGUGUCGACUCCUCCCGUGCCGGCGCUAACGCAUUAAGUGCCCCGCCUGGGGAGUACGGCCGCAAGGCUAAAACUCAAAGGAAUUGACGGGGGCCCGCACAAGCAGCGGAGCAUGUGGUUUAAUUCGAUGCAACGCGAAGAACCUUACCUGGGCUUGACAUGUAACUGACAGCCGUGGAAACACGGUCUUCCCUUCGGGACAGUUACACAGGUGGUGCUUGGCUGUCGUUAGCUCGUGUUCCGAGAUGUUGGGUCAACUUCCCGCAUUUAAUUCUACCCUUGUUUCUGCCGCCUUCCUUUAAU